UUCCGGUUGAUCCCGCCGGACCUGACUGCUAUCGGAUUGAUACUAAGCCAUGCGAGUCAUUGUAGUAAUACAAGGCAGACGGCUCAGUAACGCGUAGUCAACCUACCCUGUGGACGGGGAUAACCUCGGGAAACUGAGAAUAAUACCCGAUAGAACAUUAUGCCUGGAAUGGUUUAUGUUUCAAAUAAUUUAUUGCCGUAGGAUGGGACUGCGUCCUAUCAGUUUGUUGGUGAGGUAAUGGCCCACCAAGACUAUUACAGGUACGGGCUCUGAGAGGAGUAGCCCGGAGAUGGGUACUGAGACACGGACCCAGGCCCUAUGGGGCGCAGCAGGCGAGAAAACUUUGCAAUGUGCGAAAGCACGACAAGGUUAAUCCGAGUGGUUUCUGCUAAAGGAACCUUUUGUCAGUCCUAGAAACACUGAUGAAUAAGGGGUGGGCAAGUUCUGGUGUCAGCCGCCGCGGUAAAACCAGCACCUCAAGUGGUCAGGAUGAUUAUUGGGCCUAAAGCAUCCGUAGCCUGCUUUGUAAGUUUUCGGUUAAAUCCAUACGCUCAACGUAUGGGCUGCCGGGAAUACUGCAAAGCUAGGGAGUGGGAGAGGUAGACGGUACUCGGUAGGAAGGGGUAAAAUCCUUUGAUCUAUUGAUGACCACCUGUGGCGAAGGCGGUCUACCAGAACACGUCCGACGGUGAGGGAUGAAAGCUGGGGGAGCAAACCGGAUUAGAUACCCGGGUAGUCCCAGCUGUAAACUAUGCAAACUCAGUGAUGCAUUGGCUUGAUGCCAAUGCAGUGCUGCAGGGAAGCCGUUAAGUUUGCCGCCUGGGAAGUACGUACGCAAGUAUGAAACUUAAAGGAAUUGGCGGGGGAGCACCACAAGGGGUGAAGCCUGCGGUUCAAUUGGAGUCAACGCCGGGAAUCC
This 919-nucleotide ribosomal RNA is filed under the name uncultured archaeon. Its description in RNAcentral is "bacterial SSU rRNA". It matches the Rfam family "Archaeal small subunit ribosomal RNA", at positions 1 to 927 of the family's 1478-position model. The record is from RNAcentral.